UAGUUACAAGUUUUCUUUUGUGAUGAGAACUUUUAAGAGUACUUUCAAAUAUGCAACACAGUAUUAACAGUAUUAUUAUAUUACAGUAUUAUAGUCACCAUGUGAUACAUUAUAUCCCCUUAUUUGUUUUAUAACUGGAAGUUUGUACCUUUUGACUCCCUUCACCCAGUUCACAUUGCCCCCACCCCACCUCUGGCAACCACCAAUCUGCCCUCUGUAUCUAUGAACAUCCCCGACUCCAGGUCCAUUUUCAGGUUUUAUUUGAAAUGAGAAGUCACUCGUGGUCAAAUUCUGCCUCACAACCUCAUCUGAAUAAAAAAGAUGUGCACUACUCUAUUACUGAACCACAAGAAACCCUCAAGUUAUUUAAAAACAUAACUUUCAAUGACCAUACUCUCAGACCAUGAUGCAAUAGUGAUUAGAAAUUAGCACUCAGUUCUAAAAACGAAGACAUCAGGGUCCUCCCACCACCCUAAAUGAGGUUUGGGCUACAUUCUCUGAGGCUGUUUCCUCCACCUGUCCCGGCUGAUGCUCUAGUUUCCUGACAGGAUUGAUCUGGUCUUACUCAUUCUUGCAUCAGAAAGAUUAUUCAAGCAUCAAGUAUCAUUGCUUUCUACUCCUCAUUGUUGAGUGUGUCUUAAGCUAGAAUAACCUGUUUGACACGAUUCUUGAGCUACACAGCAUGUUACAUGUUUCAGGAGCUCUCGGAAGACUGAUUUCCCAGAUCCAGAAAAAUGCAGUCCAUCUGCUGUUCCCUUGGGCUUUUAGAUUUUUUUCAAUUCCCUCAGAACUGCAUGGAGAUGUGUUCUGAAUAAAAGCCAUCCCUGUGUUUUCAUGCUCCAUCCCACCUGCCUGCUUGUGUUGGACUGAGUUUAAUACAACUCAGCACCAGUGAAAUAUGCACCGUCAUUUCCUGCACCUAUUGUUUUGCAUCAUGUGCCUCCAGUAUUCUCAGGGCUUGAGACCCACCUGGGGGAGCAUGAUGUCACCACAUUGAUGAGCCAAGAGACCUGACUGGAGUUGUGGAGCAAUUGUCUUGAAGUUCCUAGAGGGAGUGGACAUGGCCCAGAGCACUGCCUGAUACCUGGUGCAGAGCCUGUGGAGGGAAUGAUUGCCCUGGAUGCUAUACAAGCCCCAGCUGGAGACUUGAAGACCAGGGCCUGGGUCACCUGAAGGCUCCUUUACUCACAUGGAUGGACGUUGAUGCUGGUUGUAGCCCGGGCCUCUCCAUGUGGUUGCUUUGGGCUUCCUCACAGCAUAAUGGCUGGGUUCCAAGGCCAAGGACUCUGAGAGAGAGGCAGGUAGAAGUGGUACCUUUGAUGACCAGUUUUGGAAGUUACAUAGUGUCACUUCCCCUAUACCCUAUUCAUUGAGUCAGUCACAAAGUCCUGCCCAGGUUCAGAAAGAGAAGAAAAAGGUUCUGCUUCUUGAUGGGGAGUGACAAGGUUCUGGAAAGGCACAUGGGGCCAGAAAUAUUGCUGCGACCAUUAUUGGAAAUUAUGUUGUUGCUGUUCAGUUGCUCCAUGGACUGCAGCAUGCCAGGUUCCCUUAUCCUUCACUCUCUCUCAGAGUUGACUCAAACUCAUGUCCAUUGAGUCAGUGAUGCCAUCCAACCAUCACAUCC
This is a long non-coding RNA of Bubalus bubalis (water buffalo), 1624 nucleotides long. RefSeq lists it as uncharacterized. The transcript is spliced from 3 exons. The record is from RefSeq and is a predicted model, not a curated record. Lineage: Eukaryota; Metazoa; Chordata; Mammalia; Artiodactyla; Bovidae.